This is a non-coding RNA of Equus caballus (horse), 1126 nucleotides long. NCBI's taxonomy places the organism in Eukaryota, Metazoa, Chordata, Mammalia, Perissodactyla, Equidae. The record is from RefSeq and is a predicted model, not a curated record.
UACUUGGGUGAACCCACGCUCUACUGUGCUUCCCCAUGUCUUGGGGUCAUCACUGAAUUACAAUGGUGUCCCCCAUUGUGGCGGACAAGUCGGGUCUCUGGGGUUCUGUUUCUCUGGAGAAGCCUGAUUAAUACAACAGCCAGUGGACUGAAUCCAGCCUAUAGACUUUAUUGGCCAACAUAGUGUUAAAAAAAAAACGUUAUUAAUGUUUAAAAUUGGGAGAUUUCAUCAAAAAGAAUGUGGACUCCUAACUUGGAAACGAGACAACGAGACCAGGACUGCGGGCACGCAGAGCUGAGCAGCCCAGCCUCCACCCGCUCCCCCCGCCUGCCCCAGGACAUUGUGUUUUCCCAGGAUCAGGCCAGCUCCGGGCCCAGUCCACGUAACCUUUGGAGAGACAGAUCCUCCCACUGAGUGCUGGCCACAUGGAGCAUCAGAUCUGGUCCCUGCCUGGAGGAGGUGGCAUGGCAUCCUGUCAGGAGGACCAACACAUCAGCCAUGUUCAGAAUGGGGGCAGAGCGGGAGAGAAGCAAGUGAGGCCUGGGGUGCCCCGAGCACUUGCCGCCCCUCCUGGGGACACCGAGCCAGGGACCGGAGCUUCUGUUCAUGGGAGGGCUGCACUGGAGACGCCACCUCGGAGCUGGGGCCACGCUGCGCUCGCUCCUCCUCCUCCCUGGACUCUCCAGGGGUCAGCCCUCCAGCGGGAGACAGAGGGGCUGAGGAAGGAGGCGGGCCGCCGACCCCAGGCCCAGUGUCCUCAGCAGCCCCUGCCCUGUCCUCCUCAUGCGAGGAGUGUGCGCAGGGCAGCGCCGGGAGGGGCUGGCACCUCCGCUACUGUCUGCAGCCCUGGUCUCACCCAUGGGGCCGGCGCCUGCCUCACAGGCCUCGUGAAGACACAGUGAAAGUCAGUGCCGGGGACUGUGAGCAGGGACGCAGCAGCUCAGCACUUCACUUAUUCCCAGGAGUGCAGCAGCCACUCCGCCACAGCCACAACCGGUACCCUCUCCCUCCCUCCCUCCUUCAAGGACUCCCUCGCCAAAGGGGCUGAGUGUUUUCAAGACUGCUAAUGUUUACCUUUAAUCUUCACUUCACUUUUUAAUUAUUUCAUUUAAAAAUAUUUAUAUUA